GACAAAUCGCAGAAAAAAAAAACAAAAAAUUGGCAGCUGUGACGUUUUACUUACUGACAUUGACAUUUGGCACUAAAAUUUAAUAAAGUUUUCGGUUUUUUCGAUCAACUCCCAAGUUUUAUCAAACUUUUAUAAAACUUGGGAUUGUAUGUUCUGGAUUCUGUACCUCUUACCCUGUACUCUGCAAUAAGCUCUUACGACGACCCGGCUAGUUACAUCGGAUACUAAUUAUGUCCAUGACGAAGGAGAACAGACCGCCUAAAAGGCAACGAUCAGAAAACUGGUUGGAGGAAGAUAAGUGUUUGCUUUUCAGUAUUUGCUGAAAGAGUUGGUGAAAGAAAGAGUAAAUGCAAUCGAAAAUAAAAAUACAGACACUAACACGAAUAAACGGAAGGUUGCGGCUUGGGCUGAUUUACAAACAACGUUUAAUUCAAUGUGCGCUGGUAUGAACCGCUCCAUUACCCAGUUAAAAUCGCAAUGGAGCCUCAUAAAAAUCAGUGCGAAGAAAGACAAGACCAUUGCUAGGCAGGCUCAAAUUAAAACUGGCGGUGGUCCACCAUUAUCAGUGCCUGACGAUAGGGCUGAUGAUAUAGCAUCUUGGUUGCCCAAUGAAUUUGUAGUCGAUGUUAACA
This is a long non-coding RNA of Ostrinia nubilalis (European corn borer), 632 nucleotides long. RefSeq lists it as uncharacterized. NCBI's taxonomy places the organism in Eukaryota, Metazoa, Arthropoda, Insecta, Lepidoptera, Crambidae. The transcript is spliced from 3 exons. The record is from RefSeq and is a predicted model, not a curated record.